AGGAAUUGUAAAAAUUAAAUGUGUCAUCAUUUUGAAACUGGGAAAAUUCAUGUAAAAUUGAGAUUCCUGAUUUCUUCCAAGAAUCACAAGUUUCACCGUGUUUGGCAACACUAGAUUGUGGUCCUACCCAACAGUAGUGGGCAAGAGCACAUGGUGGGUGAGCACACAGCACCCCCUCCUCUGCUCACUGCACCCCAACACUCACCCAUGCAGCCCCACCCCACUUGCUUGGAGUGUCCUGCAGGCGAGGGGCCACAGUGUCACUCCCACCACAGAGUCCCACUCUCCUGUUCUCUCUGCCACUCAGAGGACGUCUAGACCUGUGUUUCCUGGACAGAAGUCAGCCCUGGGAGCCGCAGUUUAUGCCUUCCUUCGCCCCCACACAAAUGCAAAAGCCUCCUCCCCAUUUACUAAGCCAAAGAAUGUCAGGAUUGAAUGUUUUGAAAGAAGAGUUAAAGACAGCUUUAGCCCUGGCGUUCCAUAGCUCCUUAUUAACACAGAGACUUUUCAUAACUCUGAGACAGCUGGAGACACAUUUCUGUGAAUUCAAAACUCCUGUGAAGGACGCUGGCCUCAAGGGUGCAGGGGAGGCUGGUCAGGUUUCCUAAUCUGCUCUUGGACUCAGGGCAGGUGCAGCUGGUGUUCUAGACCACAGCACAAUGGCAAGAAGGCCCCUCUGGAGCAAGUCAGGGUCCAGGCGCUACUGGCCCCAGGUGAGCCCAAGAUGCAGGCUUCAAUGCCAAAUUAACCAAGAAACAGACAGGACCCAGGGCCCGAGCACACAGACAGCCUGGUACAUGCGGAAUCACACACUGAUUUGCUCAUGGGAGCUGACUGUGAGGGCUGACAUCGCCUUUGGACUGAAUUGUGUGGAAUGUGCUGAAAGAGGCUUUGGAGUCAGAAAAUGUUAGAGCCUAGCAAGACACUCUAGAAAGCAUCUGCUCCCAGGGUCCCCAACAGUGACUGCUCUUGAUAAUCAUGUAAACAUUUCCAAAGUACAGAUUCCAGCCAGGCGUGGUGGCUCACACCUGUAAUCCCAGCUACUUGGGACGCUGAGGUGGGAGAAUCAAUUGAACCUAGGAGGCGGAGGUUGCAGUGAGUCAAGAUUGUGCCACUGCACUCCAGCCUGGGUGACAGAGUGAGACUCUGUCUCAAAAAACAAACAAAAAACAACAUACAGAUUCCUAGGCUCCAGCUACCCCUGCCCCAGCACACACACACGCACACAUGCACAUAUGCACACACAUAGAUUCUCAUGAGCAGCCAGGUUUGGGAACCAUUGGUGUAGCCCAAACCCUUCCAUUCAGUUUCUCAAGUACAGUACUAUGUUCAGUGACAUUUCCAAGGCCACAUCGCUGGUUUCGCAGGACUGGGAUUACAGGACAAGUUUCUUGACUACAACCCAGGGCUUUUUCCACAACACACUAUCUAUCUCCUGGAUGUACCAUAAAGGAGGCUGCCGAUGUACCCCAGAGAUUUUUGGAUGUGGAGAGAGGGUAAGAAGCAUAGCCUUUGUGCUUGUAAAGUAAACCAAGGUAAUUUUCCCCAAUAUUGGCCUCAGUCUCAAGUCUCUCUGGGCAAGAGAUUCUGCCUCUAGCUCUACAAUUAGUACAGUUUCCCUUGUUUUUUGAGAGGGGAUGAAAAGUACUGUACAUGUGUGUGGAGACUUCUCUGUGCCUCAGUUUACCUCUAUUUAUUUAUUUAUUUAUUUUGAGACGGAGUCUCGCUCUGUCACCCAGGCUGGAGUGCAGUGGCGCGAUCUCGGCUCACUGCAAGCUCCGCCUCCCGGGUUCACACCAUUCUCCUGCCUCAGCCUCCUGAGUAGCUGGGACUACAGGCACCCACCAGUACGCCCACCUAAUUUUUUUGUAUUUUUAGUAGAGACGGGGUUUCACCGUAUUAGCCAGGAUGGUCUCGAUCUCCUGACCUCAUGAUCCGCCCAUCUUGGCCUCCCAAAGUACUGGGAUUACAGGCGUGAGCCACCACGCCCAGCCAGUUUACCUCUACUUAAAAUGGAGAGAGUGCCCAGCACCCUUCUACCUUCUCCCUUGGGGCUCUGCAGAUUGACCGCACAAAGAUUGACCACACAGAUUGAUUGACCUGUGAAACCCCAAGGCAGAAAAAGAAGCUUUCUGUGCCCACACAGAGGUGUUCUUAAAGUCAGGGUUGCUCUUGGCACACAUAUUAAUAAUCCUGAUGUCUAGGUACCAUUGCAGAUCCUUUGGUUCCCCUCUACCCGUUCCAGGAAAGACUGCCUGUCUUCUCCGAGUUUCUUGAGGGCUGAUGAAAUAUUUCCUGAAUGUGAUCUCAGAAGGAAUCCCAGUUUUGAGGGACCAAACAAGAUUUUUUAAAAAUUAAAUACUACUACUAAAUAGCUGGUAUUGAGUUAAUCCUAAGUGCCAGGCAUUAUGCAAAACACUUUACAUGCAUUAUGGCAUUUAAUCCUCACUACAACCCUAGUGAAAUAAAUAUCAAUAUAAUUAAAAGUAUAAAUAUAAAUGAAGUGUUAUAAUAGUCUCAUUUUACAGAUGUGGAAAAUGAGGCUCAGAAAAGUUCACGUGCCCAAGAUCACACAGCUGCUAAAUGACAGAGCCACGAUUCAAUUCACAUAGUCAUCUCUAGAGGCAAAGCUCUGGUAAAGGGCUUGAUGACUGGUCACUGUCGUCACGAACUUGACCUUUCCUGCAGCACUGCCUGGUACUUUCCCAGUACAGUGUUCUGCCCUGACACAGCCAAGGCCAAGGGCAGUGCAGGCACAGCCACCGUGACUCUCUGCUGGGAGGUUAACAGCUCCAUCAGUUCAGGGACUGCCUGACCCAGCCUGACCAAAUUAGAGCAAGAGAAAGAAUUGUGCCAUGAAAAAUGGAAAACUCCUGAGAAGCUGUUCCAGCGUCAGGAGAGCAGCAGACAAGCUGGACUGGGGAAGAUUCUUCCUGCAAGACCUGCAGAGUGUAUGACACAUAACCAGCACCCAAGAAAUGUCUACCGAGGAAUUAAUGAAUGAGCCAUCUUGUGAUCAUCUGGCAAGACAGCCCAAGAAUAAAGCCGUCACCAUGGAGACUAAGAAGAGACAGAAAGACACUGGGUCUUCAUUGUCUCGUCCAGCUGUUCAUGAGGCCUUAUCUGAAGCCCACGUGACCUCCGGACUACUCACUUACAUGAGAGAAUAAAGCUCUUUUUUGUUUAGACCAAAUAAAUACAUAAUACAAUUACAUAAUCCCUUGAUUCCUUUUUAUGACUGAGCUCAGAGACUAUAUUUUGUCAUUUUAAAUCACCUUUGUCUUACAGUUUAUUUAACUGAAACAAAUAAACAAACCAAAACACGCCAGUUUUUCACUCCUCUGUCAAAGCCUUUCCAAGAUCACUAAGCUUGUGAUGUCCUGGGUGAAUGAAGAAGUAACAGUGUUUUCAACAACAUAGAAGCUUAUUUCUCUCUCAUAUAAAAGAAGGCUGGAGUCUGGCUGGUAUGGGAGAUACAGCAUCAUCAAAGUUUUAUCUUUUCGUCCUGCCAUCCUUAGAAUAUGGCUUUCAUCUUCAAGAUCACUUCCUAAGCUAUGAGGAUGCAAAGGUAUAAGAAUGACAUAGCGGACUUUGGGGACUCGGUGUGGGGAGAAGUUGGGAGGGGUGAGGGAUAAGAGACUACAUAUUGGGUACAGUGUACACUGCUCUAAAAUCUCAGAAAUCACCACCAAAGAACCUAUCCGUGGAAUCAAAAACCACCUAUACCCCCAAAACCACUGAAAUAAAACUAAAAAUUAAUUAAAAAAAAAAACAACAUAACUUCAUGGUCCAAUGUGACAGCUAGAGCGCCAAUCAUCAUGUUAAACUUCCUGUUCCAGAAAGGCAUGGAAGGAAGGGAGAAGGAGAAAAAGGAGUCUGUGAGUAGUCUAUUCCCUCUUAAGGAGUCCACAGAAGACUACCCAACAACUUCUGCUUAUGUCUCACUGGCCCUCAGGCUGCAAAUGUGGCUUCCAAGUGUAGUCUUUCAGCUGAGCACACUGCCACCCAGAUUAAAAUCUGGGUUAUGUGACCAAGGAAAAAGAGGAGACUGGAUAUUGGAUAGGCAACUAACAGUCUCUGCCGCACCCUACUUAACAAACUGGCCCAGCUUCUGUGUUCAGAUCUGAUGCUUGGUGCCCGCAGCUCCAAGGAGACCCCAUGGUUCAAGCUGCAAUUACUUGCUCCACAGGCCCUUACCAAGGAAAGUCAGGUUUUUUCCCUCCUGAGGAUCCUCUGACC
Molecule: long non-coding RNA, 4239 nt
Filed under: Homo sapiens (human)
Lineage: Eukaryota; Metazoa; Chordata; Mammalia; Primates; Hominidae
Description: HSALNT0376873
Source: RNAcentral